Molecule: long non-coding RNA, 18019 nt
Filed under: Theobroma cacao (cacao)
Lineage: Eukaryota; Viridiplantae; Streptophyta; Magnoliopsida; Malvales; Malvaceae
Description: long non-coding RNA (TCAC_LNC000647)
Source: RNAcentral
UCCAAUCCCAUAAAAAUAUGACAACAUCUAAUAGGAAUACAAUUGUUCCCUGACAAAAGCAACAAAGUUCGAAUCCAAACCACCCUUCUACUCACACGGUCAAGCAAAUAAACUUAGAAGUGCGAAAUAAACACAUAUUAGUACAAACAAAAAGACUGAUUUUAUUUUGUGGGCUUUACUCGUUCCAAGAUUGCCAAUAUAGUUUGCGUAAGAGUGAGUACCACCACAAUAAAAGCAGCAACAGUCGCAGUUCCUCUCCAAAGAUUGUUGAAGUAGACAUGCUUCAAGGCUGCCCAUCUAUGAUUCCAAGAAUUAUCAUUGUACUGGUUUAGAUCACGUCCGAUUUUGCCAUAGAGCGUAGUUGAAUGUACAAUUCCCACUGCAAGAUUGUUAAUCAUAUCCGCCACAGCUGCACUGCUACCCAAUCUAUUGACAAUAAUUCUUUCCUUUACCAGUAAAUCUACAUCUUCACUAGUGUCAACAAGAGAGUCUAGUAAUUGAAUAUAACUACAAAAGUGAGCCUUAUAUGGAUAGUGACAUUGUUCGAAAGCCAUCAGAUUUCUGAAACGAGUCUCACUUUCAUACGCUACAUCAAUAGCUGGGAGUUUUAGCUCUCCCUUCUCAAAGUCUACGUCAAGCAAGCUGUUUAUAGUAUUAUUAAUUGUACUCCUACCAAUCUUAAAUAUACCACUUUUAACACCAGUAAACUUCACACCAGCCUCAUGCAACAUCGAUGCAUUGUAGAUAUUGUGGAUUCUCGACCGAUCAAUGUUUCGCGGACGAUUACUCACUACUUGGUAUCUAAUUAAAUCCGUAAAAUGUUUAAUCUCUUUUUCUUUCAAUGAUCGAUCAGUAUGGAUAUCGAAGUACCAACAAGCAAGUUCGAGAAAAGAGAUACCAGAGUUAGGAAAUGCUAGGUUAUAUAGUUCUUUAAGGACAAACAACGGGAGUUGAUUUUCAAGUAACAUCAAAUCUGUUGGAAGUUCGACACUUAACAAUGCUUUGCGGCUUAAGAAGUCAUCGUCGGAAUAAUUUUCACUUUCCCUCAAGAAGAGCUCAAUUAUAAAAACUGCAUCAUGUAAUAUUAUCUUCUUAAACUUGGGAGCCUCUAACAAAAGAAUACACUGGAUUUCAUAACACCUACAUAUACCUUCUGCAUGAUCUUCGAUGUAGCUCUCAAAUUGUUUCAAUGUCUUCUCACAAGUCCUUUCUGAAAAUUUCUUGUAAUAUCUCAGCUUUUGCCGUUCCAUUGUAGCCAAAUUUUCGUUACCAUGAUGAAGAGGCCCUAUUGAAAUCAACUGAGGAAUGUAGGCUUUUUGGUUUGCUUCACGAAAACGACUAGGGACCUUGUAAAUACAACACUCAGGCGCAAGCUCUAAGACUUCUACAGGGAUUUCAAUUACCGAAUCUUGGGGUUGGUGGUUGUUUUCAAUUAGUGGAUCACUUUCUUGGUCGGUGUUUGCCAUCUUUGCAACUUCCUUCUCAUGUAAAAACAAACCACAAUUCUCACUAGUGAGCAAUAGCAACAGAAUUAAUCAGGUCAAGCCCCAACUUUCGUUUUCGGGCGCUUAUAAGGGUUCAACUUUAGAUUUACCACAAAAACUUAAGAUCAAAUCUAGAUGAAAUACUUUAUUUCAUCAAAAGUGAAGCAAUUUGCUAAAGAUAAUAAAUAAAUAAAUAAAUAAUCAAUACCCUCUAAAUUAAGAAUAGAAGUACGUACCUCUGAUGAUGCAGAGGACAAGGAUCAAACCAGAAGAAAUAGCUCAAGGUUCAAAGUGCAAAAUGAACCCACUUAGUUGCAAGUACAACUGGAUCUAGCAAGUCUUGGCGUUUCAGUUUUAUACAGCAGAGAGUAAUGAACAAGCUACUUGAUUGUUCAGAGUAACUCACCUUUACCAGCAGAAUCAAUUCCCCACCAUCAUGAUUUGUCUCUUCCUGCUUCACACUUUCACUGACUUGGCAAUUUAACCCCGCUUCUUAUCUUCUUCCCAACCCAACUAAAUGAGGGUGGUACGUAGAGCUGUCCACGGGCCAAGUUACCAGCCCAGUUCGCAGGCCUCACGUGAUUUCAGUCGGGUUUGGAUAUGAUUUUUUAAAUUUGGAUCCAAUUCAGUUCGAUUCAAAAAUAUUAUUUUAUUAUUUAACUUAAAUUUAAAAAUAUAUUUUACAAUAUUAAUAUAAAAAUUAAUUUUUUUAAUAUUUAGUAAUCAAUAUAACUUAAAUAGAUGGAUAAGUCUAUGUUUUCAAGGAGUCUAUCGGAUCCGAUCACCUCUAGCGGUUGAUAAUUUAUAUUUUUAUUCUUACUUUUAAUUGUGAAAAUUUUUUUAUUUAUUUUAAAAGAUCAAAGAUGGGAAAAAAUAUCUUGAUUUUUUUAUUUAUUUUAGUAUUUUUUGUAAAACUUUUUUAAUUGUCUUAAAUUAGACGUUCAAUGAAAUGAAUAAUUAAUAAGAAAAGUUGUGGCUUUUGAAUAAAAAAAAUAAGAGUGAUAUUCGGAAGGUAAAGGAACAAAGUCCAUUNAAUAAAUAAAUAAAUAAAAUCAAUACCCUCUAAAUUAAGAAUAGAAGUACGUACCUCUGAUGAUGCAGAGGACGAGGAUCAAACCAGAAGAAAUAGCUCAAGGUUCAAAGUGCAAAAUGAACCCACUUAGUUGCAAGUACAACUGGAUCUAGCAAGUCUUGGCGUUUCAGUUUUAUACAGCAGAGAGUAAUGAACAAGCUACUUGAUUGUUCAGAGUAACUCACCUUUACCAGCAGAAUCAAUUCCCCACCAUCAUGAUUUGUCUCUUCCUGCUUCACACUUUCACUGACUUGGCAAUUUAACCCCGCUUCUUAUCUUCUUCCCAACCCAACUAAAUGAGGGUGGUACGUAGAGCUGUCCACGGGCCAAGUUACCAGCCCAGUUCGCAGGCCUCACGUGAUUUCAGUCGGGUUUGGAUAUGAUUUUUUAAAUUUGGAUCCAAUUCAGUUCGAUUCAAAAAUAUUAUUUUAUUAUUUAACUUAAAUUUAAAAAUAUAUUUUACAAUAUUAAUAUAAAAAUUAAUUUUUUUAAUAUUUAGUAAUCAAUAUAACUUAAAUAGAUGGAUAAGUCUAUGUUUUCAAGGAGUCUAUCGGAUCCGAUCACCUCUAGCGGUUGAUAAUUUAUAUUUUUAUUCUUACUUUUAAUUGUGAAAAUUUUUUUAUUUAUUUUAAAAGAUCAAAGAUGGGAAAAAAUAUCUUGAUUUUUUUAUUUAUUUUAGUAUUUUUUGUAAAACUUUUUUAAUUGUCUUAAAUUAGACGUUCAAUGAAAUGAAUAAUUAAUAAGAAAAGUUGUGGCUUUUGAAUAAAAAAAAUAAGAGUGAUAGUCGGAAGGUAAAGGAACAAAGUCCAUUCAAGAAAAAUAUGAAAAAAAAAAUCUAAUAAACACAAUUAUUCAUUGAUAGUAGCAAUACCAAUACAUGAUAAAAGCAACAAAAUUUGAAACCAAAUUCUCCUUCUACUUAAAGUGGAAAGAUAAAUAAAUAAAAGUGCGAAACAAAUACGAAUUAACACACAUAAAAAGAUGAAAUGAAAACCUACAAUUAAGGAACGAAUUUAUUUUACGGGCUUUACUCGAUCCAAGAUUGCCACUAUAGUUUGUAUGAUAGUGAAAAUCCCAAAAUAAAUCGAUGCCACUUUCAAAGGAUUUUCAACAGCAUGGGAUAUUUUUGCUCCAAUCUGGUUAAGAGGAUCUCGAUAAUACUGUUUUAGAUCCUCUCCGAUUGUAUAAUAGCACAAACUUGUAACUCCCACCAUAAGAUUAUUAAUCAUAUUUGCCACAGCUGCACCGCUCCCCAUUCUAUGAGAAAUAAUCCCCAUUUUAAUCAGUAAAUUUACAUCUUCAGCGACAUCAACAAGAGAAUCCAGUAGUUGAAUAUAACCACAAAAAUAGGCCUCACUUGGAUAGUGACAUUGCUCGAAGGCUAUUAGGUUUCUAAAAACAGUCUCAGUUUCAUACUCCACACGAAAAGAUGGGAUUUUUAGCACUCCCUCCUCAAAUUUGACAUUAAGCAAGCAGUCGUCUACAGCUUUAAACCGAACACCAACAGCACGCAACAUCGUUGCACUGUAUCUGUUGUUGGUUUUCUCAACCAAGUUUGAAGGGUGAGUUCUCACUUGAUGGCGUCUAAUCAAAUCUGUGAAGUGUUUAAUCCCCUUUUGGUCUAAUGUUUGGUCUUCAUCGACUUUGAAGUACAGGCGAGCAAGAUGGAGAAAAGAGGGUUUAUCAGAAGUAGCGAAAGCUAGGUUAUAUAGAUCUUCAAGGAGAAAGAACGGGAGUUGAUUUUCAAGUAACAUUAAAUCCGUUUGAAGUUCAACACUUAACCAUUCUCUAUGGAAUAAGAAGUCGUUGACUUCUCUUUCAAAGUUCCUCAAGAAGUACUCAAUGAUAAAAACUGCAUCAUAUAGUAUCAUCUCCGUAAACUUGGAAGCCUCCGACUCAGUCCUAAAGACAAAUUGGACUUGAUAACACUUGCAUAUACGAUUUAAAUGCUCUUGGAUGAAGCUCACAAAUUCUUCCAAUGUCUUCUUGGAAGUCCUUUGACAAAAUUUUUUGUAAUAUCUCUGCUUUUGGGACUCCAUUCGACCCAAAUUUGUCUUACCACGAUGAAGAGGUCCUAUUGAAAUCAAAGUUGGAGUGUAGGCAUUUUCUUUUGCUUCACGAAAACGUCUAGGGACUUUGUAAAUACAACACUCAGGCGCAGGCUCUAAGUCUUCUUCAGGGAUAUCAAUUGCCAAAUCUUGGGGUUGCUGGCUUUUUUCAAUAAAUGGAGCAAUUUCUUGGUCGGUGUUUGCCAUAUUUGCAACUUCCUUCUCAUGUAAACAAACGACAACAUUUCUCACUAGUUAGCAAUAGCAGCAGAAUUAAUCAAGAUUUAACCUUUAUUAAGUCCAACAAAGUGUUCAAACUUUAGAUUUGAGACACUUAUUAAGCCCAAACUUUAGAUUUACUCCAAAAAAAACUUAGGGUCAGAUGUAGAUGAAGCUACUUAAUUUCAUCAAAAGUGAAACAAUUAGCUAAAGAUUAAAGUAAAGAAAAUCAAUACCGACUUAAGAAUUAAGAAUAAAGGUACGUACCUCUGAUGCUGAAGAGAAGGAGGAUCAAACCAAGAGCAACAGCUCGAGGUUCAAAGUGCAAAAUGAACCAACUUAGUUGGAUAACUGAGUACAACCAGAUCCACCAAUUCUUGGCGUUGCAGUUUUGUACGAAUCGAGAGAAAUGAACAAGGUUGUCUCAGAUCUAACAGAGGAAAAUGCCCACCAUAUUUCUUUAAGUCCCAUAUUUCGGUUGCACACGUCUUCGAAUUAAGAGUCAACCCUAAAUUAUUAUUCUUAUUUAGUUUAGAUUGCACAUCUUUCUAUUAAGUCCCAACCUUCGAUUGCACAUGUCCUUUAAUUAACAGUCAAUCCUAAAUUAUUAUUUUUUAGUUUAGAUUGCACAUGUUUCUAUUAAAUCCCAACUUUCGAUUGCACAUCUUCAUUGUUUUUUCUUUUUCUUUUUGUUUGAAGGGCAAAGACUCAUUGAUUAAAGUGACAAAGGCACGUGAUUGGUUAGUUUUGAAUUAUUAUUUUUUUUAUUUUCUGUGUACUCUAAAAGUAUGAUAUGUGUAUUUGCAGAUGGCACAAGGAAUCCAAAUUUCAAAACUUGUGUAGGAUUCCCCUGCUACUGGAAAUACGAUAAAAAAUGUUAAAACCCUUCAUAGCAUGUCACGCAGCAAACUACCUUUGUAUUCUGCAGAUGCUUAAUAGAGUAUGCUGGGUUGCCAUUUUCAUCUGGUUCUUAACUGCAGCCAUUUGGUAAUGGGCAGUCCAGGGACGAUCUACACCAGAAUAUUCCCUGCAAGCUCAGCACAGAGCUACGGACUGCAAGCUCACUAGAAGAUCCAGAAUAGGGUUUGCUUGGUCAGUUCUCCGCCGGGGACCAGCCAAAUGGCAACCGAGGAAUAUGGAGCAGUUCUGAGUUUGCAGCACAUCUCAGUGACAACAAUUAUCUAGUGCAGAAUCUCCCUUGGUCUGACAACAUUACAAUUAAACUUGAUCUGCUGCGAACUGAAAAUUUCACAGCGUUAAAUGCAACAAACACAAUUAAGUACCAAAAACAACAAAAAGGAACCAGAACUGAGCAUGGCACAUGCCAUGUUGUCUUCAAAGAAUGUGUGCUCAUGAAACAUUUUCUAGAUGGUGAGAACCCUGGGGUUACUUUACAUAGCCUUUCGAUUAGGCUGAAGCUUUAAACAGAACAACCCAACAUUUUCUAUAUAACACUGAAUUAGAAAUCAAAACAUAGAAAAACCAUGAAACAGAUUACAGUAAAAAAUAUUCCUGCAGUUCUUUUUGCCUGUCCCUCUCUCCAUGUUCAUCAUGCUUUGAAUGUUGAGGGUAUUUGAUCUAUUUGUCAUACCAAAUUCACAGGCUCUUACUUUGCUGCCAUGAAACAAUCGAAAGGCAACGAAAGACAUGCUCUCACUGAUUUUGUUUUGCUGAGAAUGCUGUGAGAAUGUAUACUUUCCUUUGGUCACGUUAAGCAGUCUCUCCGGAGAAGAAACAACUAAAGUAGCAGUUGCCACCGAGGAAACGAAAACCAAUGAUGUUUUGAAGAUCAAAAACUUUGUUCGUAGCUGCAAUUCCAGAUUCUCACACUCAGGAGAAUAAUUCGAAAGAGAAAAACGUGAAAGACUGAAUUUUAUCUUUCUCAAGAAAAAUGAAUGACAAAGACUGAGAGUACAGUUAAUUGUUUGGUAAUUAUGCAGAUAAAGAUACAGAGCUGAACCACAAAACUCAUUGCAUUAAGGUAAUACAAGGCACUAAAAAGGAAAGAAAAAUGAAAACCCAGAAAGAAAAAAUGGCCUUAAACCAAGGCUGAGACUCUUAUUCAUCCCCCGCCCUUGGACGAAUUCCAAGUCCAGUUCUUGCACCGACUUCCAUUAAAUCUUCCACCUGUUCAAACGACAUUAUAAAACAAGAUUACAAAUGUUGAUGGUGAAAAUUGGAAAACAAAGGAAGCAAUAGUUUGACAUGUUUGCACCAACUUGUGAAUGCCGGAAGCUUUAAGGAAAGCGACGGAUGCGGAGGCAGAGGAGCCGAGGAACAGAGAAGCGACGGCGAAGGCUUUGAAGGGCAUCAAACGAUGAUCACCCGCGUAACCUUCACCAUACGAAGAUAAAGCCUAUCCAAAUUGGGCAACGAUUGCUGUGGCCCAAUACCAGUGGCUUUGGAUGCGGAUCCUAUUUCCAUCACCACCGCCCCCCUCCACCUCCAUGACUCGUAUCUUCCUUCUUCAAGACUUUCACUGACUUCGCAGUUUCCGCCCCUUCUAAGCUGCUGCUCUUCACACUGCUUCCUUGAUUGGGUUAGCGGGCGCCAUGCAAUUUGGACACUUCUUGUUUAUGGGCUAACACUUACCACGUACCAGCUUGACUUAGUAUCAGCCCAGCCCAACCAUUGGUGGGUGGCUGCUAGAACUGUCCACGGAGCGAACCGGCUCGACCCCAUAAUGUUAUUAUAUAAAGAAACAUUAUAUUAUUUUUAAUUUAAUUUUUAAAUAUACUUUAAACUAUUAAUAUAAAAAUAUAUUUUAAUAUUCAAUAAUAAAUAUAAAAUAUAAUAUCUAAAAAAAAUUUUAAAUUAUUGAAAAAAAUUCAAAUAAAUUUUUAUUCUUUUCUUACGUUUAAUUAAAUCUUGAUACUUUUAUUUUGAAUCAAAUAAGCCUUAUGACUAAUGGUUUUCAUAAUUAAAAUGUCACUUUUCACUCUAUACCAUAUGACAUGUUAUAAUUAGUAAUAAAAUAAUAUAUUGAUAUGUCAUAAUUAAUGAUAACGUGAUAUACUAAUAUCACAUAAUUACAUAAUUAUAUGAUAUUUUUUACCUUUCACAUCAAUAUCACGUCAGAUCUAUGUGAGUAUAAAAUAAUAAGUUUCAUUCAAUUAAUAACAAUUAGUCAAUCAUUAUUCAUAAGGACUUAUUUAACUCAAAAUAAAUGUAUAAAGAUUUAUUGAAUGCAAUACAAAAUUAAAGAUUUAUUAAAAUUUCCUUUAAUAAUUUAUAAGUUUUUUUUUAACAUUAUUCCUAAAUAUAACUUAAAUAGGCAAGUUGGCCUUAAAUUUUCAAAGAAUCAAUCAAACUCAAUGAUCUCUUUGAACAACUAUCCAUUUUUAUUUUUUCUUUUAAUCAAGAAAUUUUUUUCCCUUUUUUUAAAAGAUAGAAGUUUGAAAUUUAAUAGUUUGGAUAAAAUUUUUUUAAUUGUUACACAUUUAAUAAAUUUAAGAUUUAUUGCAACAUAAUUACUUUAAAAAAUGGAAUAAUUAGUAAAAAAAAUUGUGACCCUUAAAUAGAGAAGGAAAAUACGGAGAUAGAAUCCUACUACUAGUUAGUAAUAGCGUAAUAAGAAACAAGCCAGUUCCAUAAAAAUAUGAUAAAAAAUCUAAUAGCCACACAAUUGUUCAUUGAUAGUAACAACAUCAAUUCAUGAUAAAAGCAACAAACUUGAAACCAAGCUCUCCUUCUACUUAAAGUGAAAAGGUAAAUAAAUUUAAAAACAUGAAACAAACACAAAUUAACACAAAUCAAAAAACGGAAUUGCAUCUUAAUUGAAUGAAAAAUUGCAAUCUAGUAGGCGUAUUUAUUUUACGGGCUUUACUCGAUCCAAGAUUGCCAAUAUAGUUUGUAUGAUAGUGAAAUACCCCAAAUAAAUCGCUAUCACACUCCCAGGAGUUAUAUAACCGACCGUUCUUGCACGAAGCUGUUUUAUAGGCUUUAGAGAAUACUGCAUUAGAUCCUUUCCGAUUUUGUAGUAGCACAAACUUGUAACUCCCACCAUAAGGUUGUUAAUCAUAUCUGCCACAGCUGCAUUGCUUCCCACUGUAUGAGAAAUAAUCCCUCUUUUUACCAGUAAAUUUACAUCUUCAACAGCAUCAACAAAAGAAUUUAAUAAGUGAAUAUAACCACAAAUAUAAGCUUCCUUUGGAUAAUGACAUUGUUCAAAGACAAUCAGGUUUCUUAAAAAAGUCUCAGUUUCAUACUCCACACGAAGAGAUGGGAUUUGUAGUUCGUUGUCCUCAAAUUUGACGUUAAGCAAGCAGUCUUCUACAGCUUUAAAAUGAACACCAGCAUCACGUAACAUCGUUGCACUGUAUGUGCUGUCAGUUCUCUCAACAAAGUUUGAGGGGCGAGUUCUCACUUGAUAAUAUCUAAUCAAAUCCGUAAAGUGUUUAAUCCCCUUCUCGUCUGAUGCUACAUAUUCAUCGACUUUGAAGUACAAGCAAGCAAGACGGAGAAAAGAGGGUUUAUCAGAGGCAGUCAAAGCCAAGUUAUAUAGAUCUUCGAGGACAAAGAACGGGAGUUGAUUUUCUAGUAACAUCAAAUCCGUUUGAAGUUCAACAUUGAACCAUUCUCUAUGGUUGACUUCAUUUUCAAAGUUUCUCAAGAACAACUCAACGAUAAAGACUGCAUCAUACAGUAUCAUCUUCAUAAACUCGAAAGCCUUUGACUCAGUGGCCAAGGCAAAUUGAACAUCAUAACACCGGCAUAUACGUUUUACUUGCUUUUUGACGUAGCUCUCAAGUUCGUUCAAAGUCUCCUUGGAAAUCCUUUGCAAAAAUUUCUCGUAAUAUCUCUGCUUUUGCCUCUCCAUUCGACCCAAAUUUGUCUUACCAUGAUGAAGAGGCCCUAUUGAAAUCAACUGUGGAGUGUAGGCUUUUCCGUUUGCUGCACGAAAACGACUAGGGACCUGAUAUAUACAACACUCAGGCGCAGGCUCUAAGUCUUCUUCAGGGAUAUCAAUUGCCAAAUCUUGGGGUUGCUGGCUUUUUUCAAUAAGUGGAGCAAUUUCUUGGUCGGUGUUUGCCAUAUUUGCAACUUUUCUUCUCAUGUAAACAAAUGACAAUAUUUCUCAGUAGUUAGCAAUAGCAGCAGAAUUAAUCAAGAUUUAAGCUUUAUUAAGUCCAACAGAGUAUUUCAAACUUUAGAUCUGGGACACUUAUUAAGCCCUAACCUUGGAUUUAUUCCAAAAAAAAUCUUAGGGUCAGAUGUAGAUGAAGCAACUUAAUUUCAUCAAAGGUGAAGCAAUUAGCUAAAGGUAAAAGUAAAGAAAAUUAAUCAAUACUGUCAUAAGAAUAUAAGUACGUACCUCUGAUGCCGGAGAGGAGAAGGAGGAUCAAACCAGGAGAAACAGCUCGAAGUUCAAAGUGCGAAAUGAGCCAACUUAGUUGGAUUAUUGAGUACAACAGGAUAUGGCAAUUCUUGGCGUUGCAGUUUUUUACGAUUCGAGAGUAAUGAACAAGGGUUCUCUCAGAUCCAACAAAGGAAAAUGCCCACCAUGUUUAUUUAAGUCCCAUACUUCGAAUGCACAUGUCUUCUAAUUAAGAGUCAACCCUAAAUUAUUAUUAUUUAGUUUAGAUUGCACAUCAUUCGAUUAAGUCCCAACUUUCGAUUGCACAUCUUCAUUGUUUUGUCUUUAUCGUUUUGUUUGAAGUGACAAAAAAUCAUUGUUUAAGAGGUUGUUUAAAGUGAUUAUUUAGUUUUGAUUUUUUUUUUCAUUUUCUGUGUACUCUAAUAUGAUAUGUGUACGUUCUGCAAGGAGAAUGCUAUUUGCAGAUGGCACAUGGCUCAUGGAAUCCAAAUUCAAAACUUGUGCAGGAUUCCCCGGCUACCGGAAAUAGAAUGAAAUAUGUUAAAACCCUUCAUAACAUGUCAGGCAGCAAACUACCUUUGUAUUCUGCAAAUCCUUAAUGGAGUGUGCUGGGUUGCCAUUUUCAUCUGGUUCUUAACUGCAGCCAUUUGGUAAUGGGUAGUCUAGGGACGAUCUACUCCAGAAUACCCCCUGCAAGUUCAGCAUCAUAUCUACGGACUGCAAGCUCGAGUACUACAAGAUCCAGGACAGGGUUUGCUUGGUCAGUUCUUUGCAGGGAACCAUCUAGAUGGCAACCGAGGAACAUGGAGCCGUUCUGAGUUUACAGGACACCUCAGUGACAACAAUUAUCCGGUUCAGAAUGUCCCUUGGUCUGACAGCAUUAUAAGUAAACUUGAUCAGCUGCGAACUGAAAAUUUCACACAGUUAAAUCCAAUAAACACAAUAACUAUAAAACAGGAACCAAAACUGAGCAUGAUAGUUGCCAUGUUGUCUUCGAAGAAUGUGGGCUCGUGAAACAUUUGCUAGAUGGUGACAACCCUGGGGUACUUAACGUAGCCUUUCGAUUAGGCAAUGAAUAGACUUAAACUUUUCUAGCAUUUAUUCUUAUCACCAUAUGCUCACUGUUCUCUUAACCAUAAAAUAUUAUUUAUUAAAAAGGGUCAAUUUUGCGAGGAAAAUAUUAUUUUUCGGCGCCUCCUCAGUUCACAUUAUGAGGUAGUAUAUUACUAUAUUUCUUUGGUGUAGGUAAAUAUAAGGGUGACUAACAGGCAAUAUUUUUAACAAAUUAAAAACUAAUGAAAAAUGUUUGAAUUUUGAUUUAGAAUUCUUGACAUAAUUCCCUCUUUUCACACCAAAAAAGUCAUUCAUUGAAGAAUGACAAUGUUUCCCAUAGUUUUUCAUUUGUGGACUCACAACAUUUUUUGGAAGUAAUUAAGAGACGUGGAAGAAAUGGAUUCAAGUAGUGCAAAAUUGUCACAGCAUCUAUAUUAACAAAAGUAGGAAAGUAGGGUUGAAAAUCAAUGGCAAUGUGUUUUUAGAGUACUUAACGUAUGAUAAAUGAAUGACAGAGACUAAAGUUCAUCUUUCUUAGGAAAAAUAAACGACUGAGACUGAGAGUAGAGUUAACUACUUGAUAAUUAUGCAGAUAAAGAUGCAGAGCUGAACCACAAAGCUCGUUGCAUUAACGUCAUAUAAGGCACUUAAAAGGAAAGAAAAAUGGCCUUAAACCGAGGCUAAUGAAACUCAUUCAUCCCCUGCUCUGGGACGAAUUCCAAGUCCAGUUCUUGUACAAAUUACACAUUUAAUAAAUUCACAAAUUUAUUUUAAUACUUUAGUUAGAACAAAGGAAAUAAAGAAUAAUUAGUAAAAAAGGUUGUGGCCUUUGAAUAUAAGAAGUAAAAAAGAAAGAGAAUGAGUCAUGGUCUUACUACUGGUUAGUAGUUACAUACAAGGAACAAGCCAAUCCCAUAAAAAUAUGACAAAAUCUAGUAGGCAUACAAUUGUUCAUUGAUAAGGGCAACAAAGCUUGAAACCAAAUUCUCUUUCCACUCAAAGUGGAAGGGCAAGUAAACUUAAAAAGUACAAAACAAACACACAUAAAAAGAUUGAUUUUAUUUGUCAUUGAAUCAAACACUGCAAUCAAGUAAGAGUAUUUAUUUUGUAGGCUUUGCUCUAUCUAAGAUUGCCAAUACGGUUUGUGUGAGAGUGAGUACCACCACGAUGAAAGCAGCAACAGUAGCAGUUCCUCUCCAAAGAGUGUUGAAAUAAACAUGCUUCAAGGAUGCACAUCUACGAUUCCAAGAACUUUUAUAAUGCCGGUUUAGUUUCAAACCGAUUUCACCAUAGAGCAAAGUUGAUUGUACAACUCCCACAGCAAGUUUGUUAAUCAUAGUUGCCACAGCUGCACUGCUACCCAAUUUAUUGACAAUAAUUUGUUCUUUUAUCAGUAAAUCUACAUCUUCCUUAGUGUCAAUAAGAGAGUCUAAUAGUUUAAUAUAACUACAAAAAUAAGUCUUUUUUGGAUAAUAAUAUUGUUCGAAGGCCAUCAAGUUUCUAAAACGAAUCUCAGUUUCGUACUCGACAUCAAUAGUUAACAAUUUUAGUAGACCCUUCUCAAAGUGUACCUGAAGCAAGCUGUACGUAGUAGAUUCGAGCACAUCAUCCUUAACCGUAUCCACAGACUGAAAACCUUCAAACUCAGGCCCAUGAAUCAAAAAACAAUCAUAUGAAACACCAUUAAACAUAACACCAAAAUCAUGACUAACUUCAGUACAUUUAAACUUAACACCAGCCUCAUGCAACUUCGUUGCGUUGUGCAUGUUGUGGUUUCCUACACGCAUGUCAUACGUCAACGGAUAAGCCCUCAGCACCUGAUAUCUAAUCAAAUCUGUAAAGUGUUUAAUCUUCUUUUCCUCGAAUGAUGGAUCUUUUUUGAUACCGAAGUACAAGCAAGCAAGAUCGAGAAAAGAGGUUUUAUCAGAGAUGAAGAAAGCUAGCUUAUAUAGAUCUUCAAGGACGAAGAACGGGAUUUGAUUUUCAAGUAACGUCAAAUCCGUUAGAAGGUUAACUCUUAACAAUGCACUGUUGUUUAAGAAAUUGUAGUAGUCAUCCUCCUUGUCAUCUCUUUGGUUUAAGACGUGGUAGACAUCCUCCUCAUCAUCGUUGCAGUCCUUGUCGGUGGAUUUUUGUUUUUCCGCCCAAUCCCUCAAGAAGAGCGCGAUGAUAAAAACUGCAUCAUUUGAUAUUAUCUCAAUAAGCUGAGAAACCUCCAAGUUACAGAUAAAUUGGACUUCAUAACACCUGCAUAUACGUAUUAAAUGGGAUUUGACGUAUCCAUGAAAUUCUGUCAAUCUCUCCUGAGAAGUGGUUUCCAAAAAUUUCUUGUAACAUCUCUGCUUCUGCAACUCCAUUUGAGUCAAAUUUUUGUCACCAUGAUGAAUAGGCCCUAUUGAAAUCAAGUGAGGAGUGUAGGCUUCUUCGUUUCCUGCACGAAAACGUCUAGGGAUCUUGAAAAUACAACACUCAGGCCCAGGGACAUCAAUUGCCGGAUCUUUGGGUUGGUCGUUGUUUUCAUUUAGUGGAGCAAUUUCUUGGCCGGUGUUUGCUGCCAUAUAUGCACUUCCUUCUCAUGUAAACAAACGACAAUUAACAUCGGUGAGCAAUAGCAAUGGAAUUAAUCAAGCCACACGUUUAGAUUAAAGCCUUAUCAAGCCACAACUUUAGAUUUACCUCAAAAAUACAUAAGGUUAGAUUCAGAUGAAGGAACUUAAUUUCAUCAAAAGUGAAGCAAUUAGCGAAAGAUAAAAAGUAGAUAAAAUCAAAACCCUCAUAAGAAUAGAAAUACAUACCUCUGAUGCUGAAGAAAAGGAUCAAACCAGUAGAAACAGCUCAAGGUUCAAAGUGCGAGAUUAACCAACUUGGUUUUGUUAUUGAAUACAACUGGUUCCUGUAAGUCUUGGCGAAAGUAAUGAGCAAAGUUCUCUCACAUUUAGAGAGGCAAAAUGCCCACCUUGUUUUUAAGGUCCCAUCCUUGGAUUGCACAAGUCGUCUACGAGUCAAUUUUUCGUACAAAAACUAAUUGCUUGUUAGCUGUUAAAACUUAUUUCUUGUAAGCUGUUAGUUGUCAGGUCUGUGGCUUUGGAUGCCGGUCCAAUCUCCAUCCCGGGUCGAUCCCACGCACCCGUGAAUCACAAUCGUCUGUGGGACUCGCUAGACCUGGCUGAGUGAAAGCAUGGGUCCUACCCAAAUUCUAUCUACACUUGUCUCUCCAUGCGAAUUAAUACUAGCCUAACAGGAGGAGUUCCUCCACCCUCGCAUCAUCAAAACAUGUGGAAAAACAAUUUCUCUCAUUCAAUUCCAACCCACUUUUCUGUUUUUUACCAGGGGAGCAGCUGGUUGAUCAUUGCAUAAUUGAAUUACUCCAGGAACUACAUGCCUUAAAUUCAAUGUACAUGGCCACAAAGGCCAAGGGUAAAAGCAUACGCAGCCCCACAUUUGUCAUAUCGAAAUUUUGUAGUGUUUUUCUGAGCUAACAACUCCACAGAGCAGGCUCCCAUUCAACAAAAGAAAAGAUUGUUGAGUCCUAGAUCUCUCAUGUUGAAACUUUGAUUUGUGAUUGCCUCUUCACCAAUUCCAGCCACGUUAAUUUCUAUAUUCGUGGGCCACAUGGAGCUGGGAAAAUUUUUACCGAAAUGUUCAAGGACAAAACAGACCACAAAUGGAGUUAUACCUACUUGAUUGUUCAAAUUAACUCACCUUCUCCAGCAGAAUCAAAACUCCUUCACAAAAUCUUAACUGACAUUUUCUUGAACCGUGGCCCAAACACCACCUGCCAUAUAUGAACCCUUUGCGUAAUGCAAAUGCUAAUUGUUUGAUAUUUGUAGCACUCCCUGUUCAAACUUUACGUACAAAUUACUUACAUCAAAGUUAUCUCUAAUAGUUUCAAACUUAACACCAGCCUCACGCAACAUCAUUGCGCUGUACAUGUUGUUGAUUCUCUCAAUUGAGUUUGAAAGAUAAGUUCUCACUAGAAUGCAUCUAGUUAAAUCCAUAAAGUGUUUAAUUCCCUUUUUGUUGAAUAAAUUAUCUUCGUUCGCGUUGAAGUACAAGCAAGCAAGUAAUACCUCAAAAUAAAUUUGAAUAAAUUUAUUCAAAUUUUGUUGAAUAAAUUCUUUCAAUGUCUCCUCGGAAGUCCUUUCCAAAAAUUUCUUGUAAUACCUCAGCUUUUGCCGUUCCAUUUGAGCCAAUUUUUCAUUCCCAUGAUGAAUAGGUUCUAUUGAAAUCAAUUGAGGAGUGUAGGCUUUGUUGGUUUGCUUCAUGAAAACGACUAGGACCUUUAAAUACAACACUCGGGCACAAGCUCUAAGACUUCACCAGGGAUUUCAAUUUCCAAAUCUUGGGGUUGGUAGUUGUUUUCAAUUAGUGGAGCACUUUUUUAUCGGUGUUCGCCAUAUUUGCAACAUCCUUUUCAUGUAAAACAAACGACAAGACUCACUAGUGAGCAAUAGCAACAAAAUUAAUCAUGCCCCAACUUUGGUUUUGGGAUACUGGCUAAGGUUCAACUUUAGAUUUACCACAAAAACCUGGGAUCAGAUCCAGAUGAAAGAUCUUAAUUGCAUCAAAAGUGAAGCAAUUUGUUAAAGAUAAAAUAAAUAAAUAAAUGAAAUCAAUAGCCUCUAAAUUAAGAAUAGAAGUACGUAGCUCUAAUGCUGCAAAGGAGGAUCAAACCAGAUGAAACAGCAAACAGCUCAAGGUUCAAAGUGCAAAAUGAGCCAACUUAGUUGCAAAGUGUUGAGUACAACUGGAUCCGGUUAGUCUUGGCGUUUCAGUUUUAUACGGCUGGCAGUAAUGAACAACCUUCUCUCAAAGUUAACACAGGAAAAUGACCACCUUAUUUUAAAGACCCAUCCUUUGAUUGCACAAAAUUAUUGCGUUUUCCUUGUCUUUUUUUGCACGUGACAAAAAGUUAUUGCUCUGUCAAUACUUUAUACCGAGAUUUGACAUCACUAGGCACACUUCUCCAGUCAUUUAUUUUUUGAUAAUACUUGGGGGUUAUCAAAAUUGUAACCCACCAACAGGGAAUUAAUACAUAGUCAGAAAUGAAAUCACCAUAUACAAAACAUAUCUCAGAAGUCAGAAAAACAUCACAGCCCCUUCCUUUUCAGCAUCAAAUAGAAAACAGCCCUGCCCCCUCAUCCAAUAAGUACCCAUUCUGUGCAACUCUGGAAGAAGAGCUCAAAUCAUGUGCUCUCAUUCUGCUUUCGUACUCCUGAAAAUACUCACAUGUACAGCAUAUAUUUGUUAAAUCUACAUUGCAUGGUAUAUGUUGUUGUCACCAGUAGAACAGGGAAGAGGCCAUGAAUCCUGCGGAUAAUUGUAUGGAACGUGCAGCGAAGAGGCCAUGGAACAUUAGUCAAUAUUGCAAUUUUGUAGCGUUUUUUCUGAGAUAACCACUCCACAGACUAGGCUCCAACUCAACAAAAGAAAAAAAAUUGCGGAGUCAUAGAUCUCCCAUGUUGGAAUUUUGAUUAGUGAUUUUCUCUUAACCAAUUCAAAACAUGUUAAUUUCUAUAUUUGUUGACCACAUGAGGCUAGGAAAACUUUCACCAAAACGUUCAAGGAAAAAACAGACCAGAAAUGGAAGUUUACCUACUUGAUUGUUCAGAGUGACUCACCUUCCCCAUCAGAAUCAAUUCUCCACCACCAUGAAUUGUCUCUUCCUCCUUCAGACUUUCACUGAUUUCGCAGUUUGCCCCCCUGCUAAGCUGCUGCACUUCGCACUGCUUCCUUGAUUGGGUUGACUAUCGCCAUGCGGAUUAUUAUUUGGACCCUUCUUUUUAAUGGGCUAAAACAUACCAGCUUAAUUCACAUCGGCCAAACCCAACUACAGGAGAGUGGCUGGUGGAUCUCUCCAUGGACCAAGUUAUCAGCAGAAGCCUGCAGGCCUGAUAGGACAGGCGGCCUGGAUAUGAUUUUCUAGGCUCAGGUUCUACAAGGUUUGACCCAAGAAUACUGUUAUUUUUAUUAAUAAAUACUUUAUUUUAUUAUAUUUUAAUUCUAAAAUAUAUUUUCAAAUACUAAUGUAAAAUUAUUUUUUAUAUAUAAUAAUAAAAUAUAUAUAAAAUGGGUGAGUUGGGCUUAAGUUUUCAAGGAAUCAGCCAGACCCAAAUUACCUUUAGUGAUCGGUUGUCUAUUUUUUAUUCUCUCUUGUAAUUAUGAGCCUUGUUUUUAAAGUGAUAUAAGUUUGGAAAAAGCAAUUUGAGAUCUUGAUUUUUUUUGUUUUAAAAUUCUGUGUAAAACUUUUUUAAUUAUUACAAGUUAGAAAUUUGAUGGAUUCUAAAAUUUUAUUUUAAUACGAUUACUUUGGACAAAAGGAGAAUAAUCAAUAAGGAAAGAUGUGGGUUUUGAAUAGAACCAAUCUAAUCUCAUAAAAUUAUGACAUCUAAUAGGAAUACAAUUGUUCCCUGAUAAAAGCAACAAAGGUCGAAACCAAACCACCCUUCUACUCAAACGGUCAAGCAAAUAAACUUAAAACUGCGAAAUAAACACAUAUUAGUACAAAUAAAAAGACUGAUUUUAUUUUGUGGGCUUUACUCGUUCCAAGAUUGCCAAUAUAGCUUGCGUAAGAGUGAGUACCACCACAAUAAAAGCAGCAACAGUCGCAGUUCCUCUCCAAAGAUUGUUGAAGUAGACAUGCUUCAAGGCUGCCCAUCUAUGAUUCCAAGAAUUAUCAUUGUACUGGUUUAGAUCACGUCCGAUUUUGCCAUAGAGCGUAGUUGAAUGUACAAUUCCCACUGCAAGAUUGUUAAUCACAUCCGCCACAGCUGCUCUGCUACCCAAUCUAUUGACAAUAAUUCUUUUCUUUUACCUGUAAAUCUAC